Molecule: ribosomal RNA, 891 nt
Filed under: marine metagenome
Description: bacterial SSU rRNA
Rfam family: Bacterial small subunit ribosomal RNA
Source: RNAcentral
GAUUGAACGCUGGCGGCAGGCCUAACACAUGCAAGUCGAGCGGUAGAGAAGGAGCUUGCUUCUUCUUGAGAGCGGCGGACGGGUGAGUAAUGCCUAGGAAUCUGCCUGGUAGUGGGGGACAACGACUCGAAAGGGUCGCUAAUACCGCAUACGUCCUACGGGAGAAAGUGGGGGAUCUUCGGACCUCACGCUAUCAGAUGAGCCUAGGUCGGAUUAGCUUGUAGGUGAGGUAAUGGCUCACCUAGGCAACGAUCCGUAACUGGUCUGAGAGGAUGAUCAGUCACACUGGAACUGAGACACGGUCCAGACUCCUACGGGAGGCAGCAGUGGGGAAUAUUGGACAAUGGGCGAAAGCCUGAUCCAGCCAUGCCGCGUGUGUGAAGAAGGUCUUCGGAUUGUAAAGCACUUUAAGUUGGGAGGAAGGGUUGUAGUUUAAUACGCUGCAAUCUUGACGUUACCAACAGAAUAAGCACCGGCUAACUCUGUGCCAGCAGCCGCGGUAAUACAGAGGGUGCAAGCGUUAAUCGGAAUUACUGGGCGUAAAGCGCGCGUAGGCGGCUUGAUAAGAUGGGUGUGAAAUCCCCGGGCUUAACCUGGGAACUGCAUCCAUAACUGUCUGGCUAGAGUACAGUAGAGGGUGGUGGAAUUUCCUGUGUAGCGGUGAAAUGCGUAGAUAUAGGAAGGAACACCAGUGGCGAAGGCGACCACCUGGACUGAUACUGACGCUGAGGUGCGAAAGCGUGGGGAGCAAACAGGAUUAGAUACCCUGGUAGUCCACGCCGUAAACGAUGUCUACUAGCCGUUGGAAUCCUUGAGAUUUUAGUGGCGCAGCUAACGCACUAAGUAGACCGCCUGGGGAGUACGGUCGCAAGAUUAAAACUCAAAUGAAUU